RNAcentral lists this transfer RNA (76 nucleotides) under Alteromonas sp. RNAcentral's name for it is "tRNA-Phe". It matches the Rfam family "tRNA". Rfam says of the family: Transfer RNA (tRNA) molecules are approximately 80 nucleotides in length. Their secondary structure includes four short double-helical elements and three loops (D, anti-codon, and T loops). The record is from RNAcentral. Lineage: Bacteria; Pseudomonadati; Pseudomonadota; Gammaproteobacteria; Alteromonadales; Alteromonadaceae. RNAcentral also lists the same sequence under 161 other names.
GCCUCGAUAGCUCAGUUGGUAGAGCAGCGGAUUGAAAAUCCGCGUGUCCCUGGUUCGAUCCCGGGUCGAGGCACCA